CUUUGCAAUUUUUUAAUAAAUUUCAAUUAUUUCAAGACAAAAAAUUUAUACACUCACAGAGCAAAGAGCCACAUGACGGACACAAGGAUGGCUUGUCAUCAACUGUCUACGGACCUGGGGCAGCUGGCUAACCCGCCCGGCAUUGUGUCCUCACUCACAGAGUAAGUGUGAGUGAGGUCACAGGAUGGGCUGAAGAAUUACGGGAUUUAACACACGUAGGACUGUCUAGAAUAAAGGAAGCCCUUGAGUAACGUUAACUACUAGUAUAGCAACAGCAGGGGCAUCCAGCCAAGAGAAAAUGUAUGGUCGUAAGAGAAAAAACAAUGAGCAAGCAAAUUUACAAAAUAUAUAAACAAAUGUCAUCAACUGAGAGAAUCAUCAAUGUUGCAUAUAAAAUGCUAAAAAAGGAACUUCUGAUAAAGAUAAGCCAGGGUGAGAGUUCCCUCUGUAGACUAGGAUCCAUGAGGAUGCGGGUUUGAUCCCUGGCCUCCCUCAGUGGGUUAAGGAUCUGUCAUUGCUGUGAGCUGCGUGUAGGUUGCAGAUGUGGCUCAGAUCCCAUGUUGCUGUGGCUGUGGUAUAGGUCAGCAGCUGCAGCUGUGAUUUGACUCCUAGCCUGGGAAGCUCGACAGGCCACAGGUGUGGCCCUAAAGAGCAAAAAAUAAAAAUAAAUAAAUAAAUAAAAAUAGGCUGGUAGAGGCCAUUGUUCAGAAGGAAAAGAAACAUGAAUAACAAAAAUGAGAAAUAAACAAGCCAAGAGAAGAGAGACCUAGAGAUUACAAAAAAACUAUAAAUUUAACAAAGAGGGGAAGAAAGGAAUAAGAGAGAGAAAACACAAAACUAAAUGGUAAGAAAUCAAUCCAAAUAUAUCAAUAAUCAUAGAAAUGUGAAAGGAUUUAACUCGCCAUAUUUCUAAAUCAGAUUCAUGUCCAUUCUAAUCAACAGUAACCAAUACUUUUCAGUCAGAGAUAAUGGGAAGUUCAUGACAUGUAAGCUACUGCCACCACCUCCCAUGCCUGUAACAGACAUAACCAAUCAAUCGUAGCAUUCUUUCCUGAGCCUGGACAAUACCUUCAGCAUCCUUCUCAACACACAGCUCCAGGUUAUUAUUACAGAGAGAUCAGCUCUGUCUUAACAGAGUUCACCCCUGAGCCAGCUCCCCAUUUGCCCCACUCUCACUGUCACAUCCCAACUCAACAUGUUCCAGGAAGAGUAAAGAAACACAAGAAAAAGUCCUACCUGGAGAUUUGGAGGAAAGACCAGGCAAGAGAGGAAUGCUGCUCUGAAUUCCUGGAUCUCAGCCAGCUGUUCCCCUCUCCUCCUCAUUCCGUGCCCCCGCUGGGCCUGUCUCCAGGAGAACAUCUGCAGCAAGCCAGAUUCUAGCAGGGACCAUCAUGAAAGCCCUUGUUAGCAGUGACAGUGACCACAGCAAGCUAACGCUGGGCUGGGAGCGAGGGACUGGCAGCCCCACUGGCCCUGGGCAGCAGGUGAACUUUCCAAGUUCAUUUGGAGGAUUUCUGGCAAAGGGGGAGCCUGGCAGAAAAGCCCUGUGCUCAGGCAGAGGGGCUCUGGCACAGCAAAGGAGGAAAGAUCCAGGGUUGGGGGGAGAAUGGGUAUGACUGCCCCCGGGGCCGGGUGCCGUACAGAUACUAAGUCCCAGCCACAACCCUGAGGGGACAGUAUUUUUAUUUCCAAUAUACAGCUAGGAAAAGUGAGUCUCAGAGAAGCUAAAUAACUAGCCUUGGUUCACAAGGCUAGUAAGUGGUAAGUGGCCUAAUUCCAGUCCUGAAUUUGCAUAAACCAGAAACGUACACAAGUUCAACGAGGGGAGCUAUCCACAACAGCACUCUGUAACACCAGUCUGGAAACACUCCUCGUGUCCUUCAGGAGAACCAGUUACAGUACAGAAAAGUCCCUCAACGGGACACAGUCAUGAGAAUGAACCCUAACUACCCAGUCAAACCAAGGUAAAUCUCACAUAAAGCGAAAUUCAGUUCACACAACACUUUUGAAAAUGGCAAGGGAGUUCCCAUCAUGGCUCAGGGGUAAUGAGCCCAGCUAGGAUCCGUGAGGACGUGGGUUUGAUCCCCAGCCUUGCUCAGUGGGUUAAGGACCCAGUGUUGCCGUGAGCUGUGGUGUAAGUCACAGAUGGGCUCGGGUUCCACGAUGCUGUGGCUGUAGUGCUCCGAUUUGACCCCUAGCCCAGAACUUCCACAUGCUUCGGAUGUGGCCUUAAAAAGCAGGGGGAAAAAAAAAAGGCAACCCAUUGAUGGUGUUUGAGGUCAGGAUGGUGGUACUGGUCAUGGACUAUUUCUGGAUCUGAGUACUGGCUACCCGAAUGUGUCCACCUGAAAUUCAUCCAGCUAUUCACUUGGGAUCUGUGUACUGUCCCAUGUUGAAUUUCCAGGCAAAGUCUUUAGAAACUGAACCUGUACCUCAGGUAGAUGCUUCCUCUACUGCACCCCACUGCUGCCCUGGCUGAUCAUUAUGAAACAGACGACUACAGAGAACAGGGCACUGAAGUGCCUGUCUUGAUUGGGCUUAAGUUCUGAUUUGCCCACUUUCUAGUAACUUCUGCUCAGAGCAAUCCACUGAAACGUGGACACAGACUUCUCCUUUGCAGGGUUAUUGUGCAUAAGAAAGAAACAAGGAAGCAUUUUGUAAUAACAUCCUAAGACCCCAUGUUUUCUGAGCCCCCAGCGUGUGCCAGUGUUCCCUCCAAGCCUUCCACAGCUCUGGAAGGUGAAGGCUUCCCCCAUUUUAUCGCCCAGGACUUCAAGGCUCAGAGCAGGAGCGAGCCAGGCUGGGAUUCACAUCCAGGUGUUCCUGAUCCAAAGUCACGGCUGCCAGGAGAGCCCCAGAAAGCUUGCCAGAUGUUCUAGGCAACAGUCAAGAUACAGACAUUGUCACAAAGACCCUGGGUUCUAGAAUCCUUCCUCCCUCUCAUUUCCAACAAAGUUCUGAGUCUCUGAAGUUCCUCCUCCACCCUGUUGAGCCCAUGGUAAUUGUUCAUUUUCUUCUCCAGCUAACACAAGCCUACCUUUCUCAUCAGCCAGUGGUUAUGGCCAUGUUAAUGCUGUGUAACAAACCACUCCAAUACUUAACGGCUUCAAACAAGGUUCUUUUUUUUUUUCCCCCAAGAUUCUUAACAUGUGUUGUUUGGGGGUUGGCUACUCUGGGU
RNAcentral lists this long non-coding RNA (3178 nucleotides) under Sus scrofa (pig). RNAcentral's name for it is "lncRNA (ENSSSCG00000059865.1)". The record is from RNAcentral. Lineage: Eukaryota; Metazoa; Chordata; Mammalia; Artiodactyla; Suidae.